CGGACGGGUGAGUAACGCGUGAGAAUCUGCCUUCAGGUCGGGGACAACCACUGGAAACGGUGGCUAAUACCGGAUAAGCCGAGAGGUGAAAGGCUAGCUGCCUGAAGAUGAGCUCGCGUCUGAUUAGCUAGUUGGUAGGGUAAGAGCCUACCAAGGCGACGAUCAGUAGCUGGUCUGAGAGGAUGACCAGCCACACUGGGACUGAGACACGGCCCAGACUCCUACGGGAGGCAGCAGUGGGGAAUUUUCCGCAAUGGGCGAAAGCCUGACGGAGCAAUACCGCGUGAGGGAGGAAGGCUCUUGGGUUGUAAACCUCUUUUCUCAGGGAAGAAAAUUGACGGUACCUGAGGAAUAAGCAUCGGCUAACUCCGUGCCAGCAGCCGCGGUAAUACGGAGGAUGCAAGCGUUAUCCGGAAUGAUUGGGCGUAAAGGGUCUGCAGGUGGCCGUGUAAGUCUGCUGUUAAAGAAUCUGGCUUAACCAGAUAAAAGCAGUGGAAACUACAGGGCUAGAGUGCGUUCGGGGUAGAGGGAAUUCCUGGUGUAGCGGUGAAAUGCGUAGAUAUCAGGAAGAACACCAGUGGCGAAAGCGCUCUACUAGGCCGCAACUGACACUGAGGGACGAAAGCUAGGGGAGCGAAUGGGAUUAGAUACCCCUGUAGUC
Molecule: ribosomal RNA, 661 nt
Filed under: uncultured cyanobacterium
Lineage: Bacteria; Bacillati; Cyanobacteriota
Description: bacterial SSU rRNA
Rfam family: Bacterial small subunit ribosomal RNA
Source: RNAcentral